UUUAACCCUAAAUAUGGUAACCCUCAUAUUA
RNAcentral lists this transfer RNA (31 nucleotides) under Placobdella pediculata. RNAcentral describes it as "partial tRNA-Leu". Lineage: Eukaryota; Metazoa; Annelida; Clitellata; Rhynchobdellida; Glossiphoniidae. The record is from RNAcentral.